CUAGGUCUCAGUUCAGAUUGCAGGCUGCAACCCGCCUGCAUGAAGUCGGAAUUGCUAGUAAUCGCGGAUCAGCAUGCCGCGGUGAAUACGUUCCCGGGCCUUGUACACACCGCCCGUCACACCAUGGGAGCCGGUAAUACCCGAAGUCAGUAGUCCAACCUCGCGAGGACGCUGCCGAAGGUAGGAUUGGCGACUGGGGUGAAGUCGUAACAAGGUAUC
This 219-nucleotide ribosomal RNA is filed under the name uncultured bacterium. RNAcentral describes it as "partial 16S ribosomal RNA". It matches the Rfam family "Bacterial small subunit ribosomal RNA", at positions 1281 to 1500 of the family's 1533-position model. The record is from RNAcentral.